This 381-nucleotide ribosomal RNA is filed under the name Paralicella sp. group 1B DZMB 2021_0086. RNAcentral describes it as "partial 16S ribosomal RNA". The record is from RNAcentral. Lineage: Eukaryota; Metazoa; Arthropoda; Malacostraca; Amphipoda; Lysianassidae.
UAGCAUAAUCAUUUGCUUCUUAAUUGGUAGCUGGAUGACGGUUUAACAAAAAUAUUAUAAACAUUUCUUUUCUUUAGGAAAAAACUUGUAUUUUAAGUAAAAAUACUUAAAUGGGAUUGAGGGACGAUAAGACCCUGAAAGCUUUAUUUUUAACUGAGAAAUAGUUAGUUAAAAUAAUAUUCUUAUCUUUAUCUGGAAUUAGCUGGGGUAGUUGCUCUAUUUAAACUAGUGUGUCUUUACUACAAUUAUUAUUGGUCAAUGAUCCUUUAUAUUUGGGUAGGUAGGGUUAGUUACUUUAGGGAUAACAGCGUAAUAUAUUUGGAGAGUCCAUAUCUAUAAUUAUGAUUGCGACCUCGAUGUUGAAUUAAAAUAAUCUUUACA